GGGGAAUAUUGCACAAUGGGCGAAAGCCUGAUGCAGCGACGCCGCGUGAGCGAAGAAGUAUUUCGGUAUGUAAAGCUCUAUCAGCAGGGAAGAUAAUGACGGUACCUGACUAAGAAGCACCGGCUAAAUACGUGCCAGCAGCCGCGGUAAUACGUAUGGUGCAAGCGUUAUCCGGAAUUACUGGGUGUAAAGGGAGCGCAGGCGGACUAGCAAGUUGGAAGUGAAAUCUAUGGGCUCAACUCAUAAAUUGCUUUCAAAACUGCCGGUCUUGAGUAGUGCAGAGGUAGGCGGAAUUCCCGGUGUAGCGGUGGAAUGCGUAGAUAUCGGGAGGAACACCAGUGGCGAAGGCGGCCUACUGGGCACCAACUGACGCUGAGGCUCGAAAGUAUGGGUAGCAAACAGGAUUAGAUACCCUGGUAGUCCAUACCGUAAACGAUGAUUACUAGGUGUUGGAGGAUUGACCCCUUCAGUGCCGCAGUUAACACAAUAAGUAAUCCACCUGGGGAGUACGACCGCAAGGUUGAAACUCAAAGGAAUUGACGGGGGCCCGCACAAGCAGUGGAGUAUGUGGUUUAAUUCGAAGCAACGCGAAGAACCUUACCAGGUCUUGACAUCCGAUGCAUAGCAUAGAGAUAUGUGAAGUCCUUCGGGACAUCGAGACAGGUGGCGCAUGGUUGUCGUCAGCUCGUGUCGUGAGAUGUUGGGUUAAGUCCCGCAACGAGCGCAACCCUUAUUGCCAGUUACUACGCAAGAGGACUCUGGCGAGACUGCCGUUGACAAAACGGAGGAAGGUGGGGAUGACGUCAAAUCAUCAUGCCCUUUAUGACCUGGGCUACACACGUACUACAAUGGCGUUUAACAAAGAGAAGCGAUACCGCGAGGUGGAGCAAAACUCAAAAACAACGUCUCAGUUCAGAUUGCAGGCUGCAACUCGCCUGCAUGAAGUCGGAAUUGCUAGUAAUCGCGGAUCAGCAUGCCGCGGUGAAUACGUUCCCG
RNAcentral lists this ribosomal RNA (996 nucleotides) under uncultured bacterium. Its description in RNAcentral is "bacterial SSU rRNA". It matches the Rfam family "Bacterial small subunit ribosomal RNA", at positions 356 to 1376 of the family's 1533-position model. The record is from RNAcentral.